CUUUGUGAAAAAAAGAAACGAGUCUGUGUAGUGAAAUUUCCGCGAUGAGUAGUUUGAUUGAUGAAAUCAGCUUGGUCUGAUCUGUAAAUACAAAUUAUUUGGUCGUCUGUCAAUUAUUACAAAUCUCUUAACAAAACAAAGUUCCAAUUUGUUGUGGGGUUGGAUGAUUAAGAAAAAGUAGUCGCUGGUGAUUCACUUAAGGUGUUAGUCCUGUAUUAAAAAGCUGUAACUUUUGUGUGCUGAUGUAAUCUUUUAGUUGCAGGUUGUUAAUUUUAGAACAGAAUUGUAAAAAACCCUUUUAUUUGGUUUCUGUAUAGUGAUGGAAAAUAUUUGAUGCCAGUUACUUUGUGUCUCAGUAAGCAAGCUACUAGAUAGUUUCUAUCAUAGUUUGCUGCAAGAUGACCAUAAUUACGGCGAGGGCCAGCGAAGCACAAGAACAUUUAAUCACAUGUAAGACACAAAGUAAAGGUCCGCAGAAAAAUACGAUAUCCUGAACUUCAGAAAUAGUACGAAAAGGUUCACAACUACUCAUCAGAAAUCCAGGAAAUUGGUAAAUAUGAUUAGGAGAGUAAAGUAUUUCGAGAUCCAACCAGAGAGCCACAGACCGUUUUCUAUGGUGUGGCUCUGCCGAUGGAAAUCUUGUGGUCAUUUUCCCAUGUGCUAAUGGAGACGGUAACGGAACAAUGCACAUCAACAUACUCGAUAGUUAAAGUGAAAGAAUAAAUAAGAACGAGGACAUGCUAGGCGGAUCAAAAGCACCACCAAUGGCCAAGCAAAACGCUACGUCUGGUACUCUUGCAAGUAGGGAGUUCUAUAAAGAAUAUUCUCAGCCUUCCAACGCUUUGAAAAAGACAACAGUGGAUAUAUCACAAUGGAAGCCCUGGAGCAGUCCCUGAGGGACAUUAAUGGUGGAAGAGACCUUAAUGAAAUUAUUUCUGAAGUUGAUGGAGAAAAAUAUUUUCAAAGAAGGGGAGCUUCGCCACUUCUUCCUCUUUGUGUCACAUCUAUAGAAAUGUCUGUUUCGUUCCAUUUCAGGCUCCUCUGCGGCUUCUCGGUGGCAUUUCCAACUUCAUACAUUUUACACAUGGGAUGCUAACAAGUAACAACUUGCUAUCGUAAAUAAGGAUGAUAAAAGACAUAAACAUGGGGAAAAUACACUUUGUAUUAUGAGAGAAGUGCAUCAGUUUAAAAUAUUGUAAUUGUCGAGUGGGAGAACGGAGUACUGAAUUAAUUUACACACUGUAUUAGCAGCC
Brassica napus (rape) is the source of this 1253-nucleotide long non-coding RNA. RefSeq lists it as uncharacterized. The transcript has 6 exons. NCBI's taxonomy places the organism in Eukaryota, Viridiplantae, Streptophyta, Magnoliopsida, Brassicales, Brassicaceae. The record is from RefSeq and is a predicted model, not a curated record.